AUGGAUAGAUUGGCCUCAAGGAGAAGGCCUUGAAAUCGUCUGUCUCAUGUCAAGACAGUUAUUCUUCUUAGGAUGGCUGCCAGGGAAUAGAUGAAAGGCAGAAGUGGCGAUGGGUGACUGAUGUGGCACACUUAUGAAGAAAAGCCUCUUUUUCCAUGCUUGUUUUUCCUCCCCAAGGAGCCAACAGAGUUUCUGUUCUCCAACUCUGCUCUUCACCUUACCCGAGAUGGAGUCUCGCUCUGUCACCAGGCUGGAGUGUAGUGGCAUGAUCUCGGCUCACUGCAACCUCCACCUCUUGGGUUCAAGUGAUUCUUGUGCCUCAGCCUCCCCAGUAGCUAGGAUUACAGGGAGGCCUCAGCCAACUGCCACAACUCCUGAGUGAAACGCAUUGCCUGCUCUUCGGACAUUCUGGGGGAGGUGAAGACAAAGGUGAAGUCUCAGCCUUCAGUGUCUCUGAGACUCAAAUUGCCUCAAGUGCUUUCAAACCAGCAAGCAGCUCAUUUAGAAUUUGGUGAUAAGCCAUGGCCCUCAUUUGGGGAAAUUUAGAGGCACAUUUGAAGGAGUAAGCUCAUGUACUAUAACUGGACAUAGGGCCAAAUUCUGUCUUUGGAAAAGUCAGUGAAGCAGACACACCCUGUGCCCUCUAAGUGAAUUAAUGUACUGUGUUCCAUUUGAGAAUCAUUUCUCUCUUCAUCUUUAAUUCCUGCCCUGAGGAGCCAUCUGUACUUUGAGGGUAUGUGCACAGGAUCACUCACUGAGGACUGAGGACCUUCAUGCUCAGCCCUCGAGAUGAAUAACCCUUUCAUACACUGUGGGCUUCCUCUGAUUUUCUGACUAAACCAGACCUUAGUGGGGCGUAGAAAUCUGUAACAGCAAAAAGGUUCAUACAAACGUAAAAACAAAAGGCAAUGGGUGAUUUUCUUGUUGUCGUGGUAGUGGGGGUUGUUUUUAACCCUAAAAUGGCAUAUAUUAAUCCAAAACACAAUAUUAUUGUCCUCAGGAUCUCAUGAUUAUCUUUGACAAAGGAAGAUUAAACAUUCAAACUGUUUUAGGAUUUUUGGGGUUGAGGAGAAGGGAUUGGAUUAAUUCUUUCAGUGGACGUGAAGUCCUAGAGUCUAGGAAGAAUUAGUAAGGUAGAUGAUAUAUCUCCUUCUUUUCAAAGGCUAAGGCCAAAUGUUUGAUUUGGAAAAACAAAAAACAAAAACAAAACCUAGACUGGGCAUGGUGGCUCAUGCCUGAAAUCCCAACACCUUGGGAGGCAGAGGCUGGACGAUCACUUGAGGCCCUGAGUUCAAGAACAUCCUGGGCAACAUUGUGAAAUCACAUCUCUACAAAAGAAUUACGAAAUUAGCCUGGUGUAGUGGCAUGCACCCAUAGUCCUAGCUACUUGGGAGGCUGAGGCAAAAGGGUCAUCAGCCCAGGAGUUUGAGGCUGCAGUGAGACGUACUUGGGCCCCUGCACUCCAGCCUGGGUGACAGAGAGAGAGACCCUGUAUCAAAAACAAAAACAGAAACAAAAAAAAUAAAAACAAUUAAAUAGGUGGUUCUGGGAAGAGGCUUCUUACAAAAAGAAGAAAAAAAA
Long non-coding RNA from Macaca mulatta (Rhesus monkey), 1581 nucleotides. The record is from Ensembl. Lineage: Eukaryota; Metazoa; Chordata; Mammalia; Primates; Cercopithecidae.